GGAUCCAUGGCUGCCUGUUAGAAAAACAUUAGACCAGAGAAAAAUGCCCCAUCAGCAACCCAUCUUCUUUUUCUUCUUUAGAAAGAAACCUAGAGGACAAGACCUAAAAAAGGGAGCUGCCAUUUUUGGACCUUCUACACAGCUUCAUUCGUUCUCUUUCGUGGACAAAGGACGAGAACCCUAAUGAACACACAGACAUACAUCUCUUCUUCUUGAAAAAGCUUAACCUCCAUCUUCAACCUAAAAAUGGCGAAAACCUAGGACAAAAGAGAGCAACAACCAAACGUCCACCAUCUCCCUCACGACAUCUCGAUUGUCUUCUCCAAACAUAAAAGAUAUGCAAGAC
RNAcentral lists this long non-coding RNA (346 nucleotides) under Nicotiana benthamiana. Its description in RNAcentral is "long non-coding RNA (NBEN_LNC012111)". Lineage: Eukaryota; Viridiplantae; Streptophyta; Magnoliopsida; Solanales; Solanaceae. The record is from RNAcentral.